Molecule: ribosomal RNA, 468 nt
Filed under: uncultured bacterium
Lineage: Bacteria
Description: partial 16S ribosomal RNA
Rfam family: Bacterial small subunit ribosomal RNA
Source: RNAcentral
GACGAACGCUGGCGGCGUGCUUAACACAUGCAAGUCGAACGGAAAGGCCCUGCUUUUGUGGGGUGCUCGAGUGGCGAACGGGUGAGUAACACGUGAGUAACCUGCCCUUGACUUUGGGAUAACUUCAGGAAACUGGGGCUAAUACCGGAUAGGAGCUCCUGCUGCAUGGUGGGGGUUGGAAAGUUUCGGCGGUUGGGGAUGGACUCGCGGCUUAUCAGCUUGUUGGUGGGGUAGUGGCUUACCAAGGCUUUGACGGGUAGCCGGCCUGAGAGGGUGACCGGCCACAUUGGGACUGAGAUACGGCCCAGACUCCUACGGGAGGCAGCAGUGGGGAAUAUUGCACUAUGGGCGGAAGCCUGAUGCAGCAACGCCGCGUGCGGGAUGACGGCCUUCGUGUUGUAAACCGCUUUCGCCUGUGACGAAGCGUGAGUGACGGUAAUGGGUAGAGAAGCACCGGCUAACUACGUG